Molecule: long non-coding RNA, 1446 nt
Organism: Helicoverpa armigera (cotton bollworm)
Lineage: Eukaryota; Metazoa; Arthropoda; Insecta; Lepidoptera; Noctuidae
Exons: 2
Source: RefSeq, a predicted model, not a curated record
UUUAACCGUCAAAUCCGUAGCGGACCCCAAUCGGGGUCUGAACAUCAAUGUCACCGUAAGCUCGGUUUAGACCCCAAUUGGGGUCUAAGAAUCAGUCAUACACUUUCCUAAUUAUUUACGCUCAUAUUUAUUUUCUUUCCAAUCAAACCACAUUUGUGAGUACUAAAUAAAAUAACUAAAUAAAUUUAAAUUAUUUUUACGCAUUCAAACCUUUCAUAUUUAGCAUCCCGUUAGAAAUAUACCUUUUUAAAAUCCAAUCGUAAUUACCGGGAAUUCUGAUCGAACUCGCCAUGUUUGUUUACAUUAGUUGUUUUUUUAAAUUUGAAGACGCAUAGACAAGAUGGCGACGGUGAUAGAAGUUUUGCAUCGAAUGAUCCGAAUCGUUAAAAUAAAGAAUCGAUUUAAUAAUUUAAAUCGAUAUUAUAAUAUUACUAAAUUGCACUUUUGUAUACUUACCAUAAUCUGAAAAUAAAUUAGGAAAAGUAAAAUGACUUAACUUAUUUUGAAAAAAAUGCUAGAAAGUCAGUGGUAGAAAAUACGUUGUAGCCGGAAUAAAAAAAAUCUUCGGUUUUUAGGGUUUCUGAAGACGGCAAAUGAAGACUUAUUUAUUUCUUCGGGUGUUUUAUGUGCAGGAUUCCUGUAGACCUGCCAAACUUAAUGGCGAUUCGUUACUUCCAACUUUUUAACUGAGCGGCAAAGCUAUUUGACGAGAGCCGUAGUUAGGUGUAGUUAUCGCAAAAUUUUAUGACGAGUUUAUUGUUUGAAAGGGCAAAUAGUUCGCUGUUCAUCGAAAGCUGCUCCAAGAUGGAAAGAUGGCCGCCGCCGACUUAUUUUUAACCGACUUCCCAAAAAGCGGAGGUUCUCAAUUCGACCCAUCAGAUCCUGGACCUAUUAACAAAUAUGGGGAAUAUAGCCCUUCGACCAAAAACAAACAUCCAAAUUGAGAACCACCUCCUUUUUGGGAUUCGGUUAAAAAUAUUUGGUGACUUUAAAAUCAAUUAUUGUUUCUCAUCAUCAAAUAAGUACAUUACUUUGGUAGUUACAAAUUGCAUUAUAUUUCAGAACACCAGGCUUACCCUCCGCCGAAACAAAAAUCUUAGAAUUGUUGAGAAAUAAUAUAAGAAUAAAUUAAAAUUCCGUAACAGGUAAUAAAAAUUCAAUUUAAGUUAAAAAUUAUUACGAAUGACGCAACACCAAAAUAAAUAAUACAUAUAAAAAUUUAAUGCUAAAAACUUUCAUAAAACUUAAAUAUCUUUUUUCUUAACAACAAAAACAAAUUGAACCUAUAAUUUCAAAUUAAUAAAUAAAAUUGAAAUAAGUUGCUAUUAAAAAAUAGGUAUAUAUAAAAUUGGUAUUCGAUUAUUUAUAAUAAAUAUCCGAUUUAGGUAUCGAAUGCACAACGCUGAUUGAAAAAAAAAAAUACUCCAUUCCAAACUCUUCUUGUCU